GAACCGUGCGAACGUUGUUCGGAAUCACUGGGCUUAAAGGGCGCGUAGGCGGCUUGCCAAGUCAGGGGUGAAAUCCUGCAGCUCAACUGUAGAAGUGCCUUUGAUACUGGCGAGCUCGAGGGAGGUAGGGGUGGGUGGAACUUCUGGUGGAGCGGUGAAAUGCGUUGAUAUCAGAAGGAACGCCGGUGGCGAAAGCGACCCACUGGAUCUCUACUGACGCUGAGGCGCGAAAGCCAGGGGAGCAAACGGGAUUAGAUACCCCGGUAGUCCUGGCCCUAAACGAUGGGCACUAGAUUGCAGACUGAUCAUGGGUUUGCAGUCGAAGCAAAAGUGUUAAGUGCCCCGCCUGGGGAGUAUGGUCGCAAGGCUGAA
This 372-nucleotide ribosomal RNA is filed under the name uncultured bacterium. RNAcentral describes it as "bacterial SSU rRNA". It matches the Rfam family "Bacterial small subunit ribosomal RNA", at positions 527 to 898 of the family's 1533-position model. The record is from RNAcentral.